RNAcentral lists this ribosomal RNA (473 nucleotides) under Lacticaseibacillus rhamnosus. Its description in RNAcentral is "bacterial SSU rRNA". It matches the Rfam family "Bacterial small subunit ribosomal RNA", at positions 23 to 466 of the family's 1533-position model. Lineage: Bacteria; Bacillati; Bacillota; Bacilli; Lactobacillales; Lactobacillaceae. The record is from RNAcentral.
CUCAGGAUGAACGCUGGCGGCGUGCCUAAUACAUGCAAGUCGAACGAGUUCUGAUUAUUGAAAGGUGCUUGCAUCUUGAUUUAAUUUUGAACGAGUGGCGGACGGGUGAGUAACACGUGGGUAACCUGCCCUUAAGUGGGGGAUAACAUUUGGAAACAGAUGCUAAUACCGCAUAAAUCCAAGAACCGCAUGGUUCUUGGCUGAAAGAUGGCGUAAGCUAUCGCUUUUGGAUGGACCCGCGGCGUAUUAGCUAGUUGGUGAGGUAACGGCUCACCAAGGCAAUGAUACGUAGCCGAACUGAGAGGUUGAUCGGCCACAUUGGGACUGAGACACGGCCCAAACUCCUACGGGAGGCAGCAGUAGGGAAUCUUCCACAAUGGACGCAAGUCUGAUGGAGCAACGCCGCGUGAGUGAAGAAGGCUUUCGGGUCGUAAAACUCUGUUGUUGGAGAAGAAUGGUCGGCAGAGUAACUG